UUGGAGCGCAUGGCUCUUGACAGGAGC
RNAcentral lists this non-coding RNA (27 nucleotides) under Homo sapiens (human). Lineage: Eukaryota; Metazoa; Chordata; Mammalia; Primates; Hominidae. The record is from RNAcentral.